RNAcentral lists this long non-coding RNA (455 nucleotides) under Trifolium pratense (red clover). RNAcentral's name for it is "long non-coding RNA (TPRA_LNC001143)". Lineage: Eukaryota; Viridiplantae; Streptophyta; Magnoliopsida; Fabales; Fabaceae. The record is from RNAcentral.
AAGUCGAGAAGACGACGGCGAAGCGGCACAGCGAGAAGAACGGCAGGUUGACAACAGUGGACGAAACGGAAGAACAAUCAUCAGAACGUGUCAUCAAACGCCGAGGAAGGAGAUUUCUACCUCGCUCCACCAAUCCUCUUCCUCCCUCCACAAAUUGUUAUCACAGAUUAUGUAAUUGAUUUAUUUUGAUUCAUGGAGUUGAAAUUUGGGUUGAACCCUGUUGAGAUGUUAUUCUAAUUUUUCAUUGAUGAUUUACAUGAUUGGAUUCUAAUUACAGGAUUUGAUUGAGAGAGACUACCCAGUACAGUGUUUGAAACGAAGUCGUUUUCCUUGCUUUCAAGUGGGUCUGUAUGGUGUUUGGGUAAUGUGAAAUAAUAUGGUUCAUUGGAUUAUUUUAAUGAUCUGGAUUGUUUCAACUUGGUGAAACUGUGUGAUAUAUCCACAGCAGCAAAUCC